Molecule: ribosomal RNA, 253 nt
Filed under: uncultured bacterium
Lineage: Bacteria
Description: partial 16S ribosomal RNA
Rfam family: Bacterial small subunit ribosomal RNA
Source: RNAcentral
GACGAACCGUCCAAACGUUAUUCGGAAUCACUGGGCUUAAAGGGUGCGUAGGCGGCCUGACAAGUUGGGUGUGAAAGCCCUCGGCUUAACCGAGGAAUGGCGCCCAAAACUGCUAGGCUCGAGGAAGAUAGAGGUGAGCGGAACUUAGGGUGGAGCGGUGAAAUGUGUUGAUAUCCUAAGGAACACCAGUAGCGAAAGCGGCUCACUAGGUCUUUUCUGACGCUGAGGCACGAAAGCUAGGGGAGCGAACGGG